This 111-nucleotide small RNA is filed under the name Arabidopsis thaliana (thale cress). RNAcentral's name for it is "ATSL081650". The record is from RNAcentral. Lineage: Eukaryota; Viridiplantae; Streptophyta; Magnoliopsida; Brassicales; Brassicaceae.
AUUUAUUUUAUUAGUCUCUAUUUGUAUACAUAAACUAGAUUUUAACCCGCGGUACACCGCGGAGAUAAUUUAUUUUUUAAAGUUAGUAUAUAUAAAAAUUUGCAAAUUUUA